Molecule: ribosomal RNA, 2802 nt
Filed under: Deltaproteobacteria bacterium
Lineage: Bacteria; Pseudomonadati; Myxococcota; Myxococcia
Description: 23S ribosomal RNA
Rfam family: Bacterial large subunit ribosomal RNA
Source: RNAcentral
GGUCAAGAUACGAAGGGCACGCGGUGGAUGCCUAGGCGAUGAGAGGCGAAGAAGGACGUGGACAGCUGCGAUAAGCCAUGGGGAGCCGCUAACAGGCUUUGAUCCGUGGAUCUCCGAAUGGGGCAACCCACCCGCGCGAGAGCGCGAGGUACCUCCAGACUGAAUACAUAGGUUUGGAGGAGCGAACCCGGGGAAGUGAAACAUCUCAGUACCCGGUGGAAGAGAAAACAACAGUGAUUCUCCUAGUAGCGGCGAGCGAACGGGGACGAUGGCCAAACCCGAAGUAGCGAUACUCCGGGGGUUGUAGGGCCGGCGAUGUGGCACACUGACGACGAGACGAACGACUUGGAACGGUCGGUCAUAGAGGGUGACAACCCCGUAGUCGAAGUCGAAGGUGGCCUAGCUGGUACCUGAGUACCGCAAGACACGUGCAAUCUGGCGGGAACCUGGCGGGACCAUCCGCUAAGCCUGAAUACUCCUCAUCGACCGAUAGUGAACAAGUACCGUGAGGGAAAGGUGAAAAGCACCCCGGAAGGGGAGUGAAAUAGAACCUGAAACCGCGAUUGCCUACAAGCACUGGGAGCACGAUGUCUUCGGACCGUGUGACCGGGUACCUUUUGCAUAAUGGGCCUGCGAGUUACGUUUCGUGGCAAGGUUAAGCCGACGAGGUGGAGCCGAAGCGAAAGCGAGUUCGAAUAGAGCAGAAGUCGCGGGACGUAGACCCGAAGCCCGACGAUCUAUCCAUGGCCAGGUUGAAACGCGGGUAACACUGCAUGGAGGACCGAACCCACCGCAGUUGAAAAUGCGGGGGAUGAGCUGUGGAUCGGAGUGAAAGGCUAAUCAAGUCGGGGUAUAGCUGGUUCUCCCCGAAAUAUAUUGAGGUAUAGCCUCGGAUGAAUCCCUGCGGGGGUAGAGCACUGGAUGGGCUAGGGGACUUACCGGUCUACCAAACCCAACCAAACUCCGAAUACCGCAGAGGACUGUCCGGGAGUCAGGCAGCGGGAGAUAAGUUCCGUUGCCGAGAGGGAAAGAGCCCAGAUCGCCGGUUAAGGCCCCAAAUUCCACGCUUAGUGUUAAAGGAUGUGGGGGCGCACUGACAGCCAGGAGGUUGGCUUAGAAGCAGCCACCCUUUAAAGAAAGCGUAAUAGCUCACUGGUCAAGCGAACCCGCGCCGAAAAUAUAACGGGGCUCAAGCGUGGAGCCGAAGCCGCGAGAGUGGAAACACUCGGUAGGGGAGUAUUCUGUGGCAGAUACAUGGUGUACCGACAAGGAGCACUUCAGGGCCACAGAAGAGCUUAUGCAGGCAUGAGUAGCGAUAAACCGGGUCAAAAACCCGGUCGCCGUAAGCCCAAGGUUUCCUGGGGAAGGAUAAGCCUCCCAUGGGUUAGUCGGGUCCUAAGCCGAGGCCGGAAGGCGUAGGUGAUGGCAAGCUGGUUAAUAUUCCAGCACCGUGACGGUGUUUUAGCAGAGCGGGGACGGAGAAGGAUAGGCUCAUCCGGGAGUUGGUUUUCCUGGUCCAAGCCCGUAGGCGGUUCCCAUAGGACGCGACAGCGACAAACGUGGGGGCAACGCCGAGAGGUGAUGGGGCGCGACCUUCGGGUCGUGAACUGAGUGAUUCCAUGCUUCCGAGAAAAGCCGCGCUGUGUGGCACUGACACGCCCGUACCGCAAACCGACUCAGGUGGGCGGGAAGAGUAUUCCAAGGCGCGUGAGAGAACCCUGGUUAAGGAACUCGGCCAACUGACCCCGUAACUUCGGGAGAAGGGGUGCCUGCUGGCGUUAGCCACUUCGCGUGGCGAGGCGUCGGCGGGUCGCAGUGAAAUGGGGGUUGCGACUGUUUACCAAAAACACAGGACUCUGCGAACUCGUAAGAGGACGUAUAGGGUCUGACGCCUGCCCGGUGCCGGAAGGUUAAGGGGAGUUGUCAGCGCAAGCGAAGCAGCGAACCGAAGCCCCGGUAAACGGCGGCCGUAACUAUAACGGUCCUAAGGUAGCGAAAUUCCUUGUCGGGUAAGUUCCGACCUGCACGAAUGGCGUAACGACUUCCCCAGCCGGGCUCCUGGGUUCGGCUGAGCCAGCCUUGAAAUACCACCCUGAACGAUCUGGGAUUCUAACCCAGGCCCCUCACAGGGUCGGGGACACUGCCUGGUGGGCAGUUUGACUGGGGCGGUCGCCUCCUAAAAUGUAACGGAGGCGCACGAAGGUCACCUCAGGCUGUUUGGAAACCAGCCGUAGAGUGCAAAGGCAGAAGGUGGCUUGACUGUGAGAUCGACAGAUCGAACAGGUGCGAAAGCAGGCCUUAGUGAUCCGGUGGUCCCGUAUGGAAGGGCCAUCGCUCAUCGGAUAAAGAGGUACUCUGGGGAUAACAGGCUGAUCACGCCUGAGAGUCCACAUCGGCGGCGUGGUUUGGCACCUCGAUGUCGGCCCAUCGCAUCCUGGGGCUGGAGCAGGUCCCAAGGGUUCGGCUGUUCGCCGAUUAAAGCGGUACGCGAGCUGGGUUCAGAACGUCGUGAGACAGUUCGGUCCCUAUCUGCCGUGGGCGCAGGAGGCUUGAGAGGAUCUAUCCAUAGUACGAGAGGACCUGGAUGGACGGACCUCUGGUGUGCGGGUUGUUCUGCCAAGAGCAUAGCCCGGUAGCCAUGUUCGGUACGGAUAAUCGCUGAAAGCAUCUAAGCGAGAAGCCGACCUCAAGAUUAGGCCUCCCCAUCAGACUCCUCGUAGACUACGAGGUCGAUAGGCUGGGCGUAGCAGCGCGGCAACGCGUGGAGCGGACCAGUACUAAUCAGUCGAUCGGCUUGACCGU